This 492-nucleotide ribosomal RNA is filed under the name uncultured bacterium. RNAcentral's name for it is "partial 16S ribosomal RNA". It matches the Rfam family "Bacterial small subunit ribosomal RNA", at positions 29 to 507 of the family's 1533-position model. The record is from RNAcentral.
AGUGAACGCUGGCGGUAGGCCUAACACAUGCAAGUCGAACGGCAGCACAGUAAGAGCUUGCUCUUACGGGUGGCGAGUGGCGGACGGGUGAGGAAUACAUCGGAAUCUACUUUUUAGUGGGGGAUAACGUAGGGAAACUUACGCUAAUACCGCAUACGACCUACGGGUGAAAGCAGGGGAUCUUCGGACCUUGCGCGAUUGAAUGCGCCGAUGUCGGAUUAGCUAGUUGGCGGGGUGAAGGCCCACCAAGGCGACGAUCCGUAGCUGGUCUGAGAGGAUGCUCAGCCACACUGGAACUGAGACACGGUCCAAACUCCUACGGGAAGCAGCAGUGGGGAAUAUUGGACAAUGGGCGCAAGCCUGAUCCAGCCAUACCGCGUGGGUGAAGAAGGCCUUCGGGUUCUAAAGCCCUUUUGUUGGGAAAGAAAAGCAGCAGGUUAAUACCCCGCUGUUCUGACGGUACCCAAAGAAUAAGCACCGGCUAACUUCGUG